GAACAUUGCAAUCGAAGAAGAUGGAGAGAGCGCGAUCAACCAGCACAACAACUUCAGGACCUUUGUGCAGGCUCUGAUGCUCCUUUUUAGGAGUGCGACAGGAGAAGCGUGGCAUGAGAUCAUGCUGGCGUGUCUGGGGGGUAAGGAGUGUGACCCCCUGUCAGGGAAUGCAGAGCCAGAGUGCGGCAGCCAGGUUGCCUACCUCUACUUUGUCUCCUUCAUCUUCUUCUGUUCGUUUUUGAUGCUGAAUUU
Nematolebias whitei (Rio pearlfish) is the source of this 252-nucleotide long non-coding RNA. RefSeq lists it as uncharacterized. The record is from RefSeq and is a predicted model, not a curated record. NCBI's taxonomy places the organism in Eukaryota, Metazoa, Chordata, Actinopteri, Cyprinodontiformes, Rivulidae. The transcript is spliced from 3 exons.